CCUACGGGAGGCAGCAGUGGGGAAUAUUGCACAAUGGGGGAAACCCUGAUGCAGCGACGCCGCGUGAGUGAAGAAGUAUUUCGGUAUGUUAAGCUCUAUCAGCCGGGAAGAAAAUGACGGUACCUGAUUCAGAAGCCCCGGCUAACUACGUGCCAGCAGCCGCGGUAAUACGUAGGGGGCCAGCGUUAUCCGGAUUUACUGGGUGGAAAGGGAGCGUAGACGGUGAUGCAAGUCAGAAGUGAAAGCCCGGGGCUCAACUCCGGGACUGCUUUUGAAACUGUGGGACUGGAGUGCAGGAGAGGUAAGCGGAAUGCCUGGUGUAGCGGUGAAAUGCGUAGAUAUCAGGAGGAACACCAGUUGCGAAGGCGGCUUACUGGACUGUAACUGACGUUGAGGCUCGAAAGCGUGGGGAGCAAACAGGAUUAGAUACCCUGGUAGUC
RNAcentral lists this ribosomal RNA (440 nucleotides) under uncultured bacterium. Its description in RNAcentral is "partial 16S ribosomal RNA". It matches the Rfam family "Bacterial small subunit ribosomal RNA", at positions 338 to 795 of the family's 1533-position model. The record is from RNAcentral.